GAUGAAGAACGCAGCGAAAUGCGAUAAGUAAUGUGAAUUGCAGAAUUUAGUGAAUCAUCGAAUCUUUGAACGCACAUUGCGCCCCUUGGUAUUCCGAGGGGCAUGCCUGUUCGAGCGUCAUUUCAACCAUCAAGCCCCCGGCUUGUGUUGGGGACCUGCGGCUGCCGCAGGCCCUGAAAACCAGUGGCGGGCUCGCUAGUCACUCCGAGCGUAGUAAUACAUCUCGCUCAGGGCGUGCUGCGGGUUCCGGCCGUUAAAAGCCUUAUUUACCCAAGGUUGACCUCGGAUCAGGUAGGAAGACCCGCUGAACUUAAGCAUAUCAAUAAGCGGAGGA
RNAcentral lists this unclassified non-coding RNA (334 nucleotides) under soil metagenome. RNAcentral describes it as "partial contains 5.8S ribosomal RNA, internal transcribed spacer 2, and large subunit ribosomal RNA". The stretch from base 1 to 120 matches the Rfam family "5.8S ribosomal RNA", at positions 35 to 154 of the family's 154-position model. The record is from RNAcentral.